RNAcentral lists this ribosomal RNA (764 nucleotides) under uncultured bacterium. RNAcentral describes it as "bacterial SSU rRNA". It matches the Rfam family "Archaeal small subunit ribosomal RNA", at positions 168 to 933 of the family's 1478-position model. The record is from RNAcentral.
UGCUGGAAUGCACCGAGGUCGAAAGCUCCGGCGCCUAAGGAUGGGUCUGCGGCCUAUCAGGUAGUAGUGGGUGUAGCGUACCUACUAGCCUACGACGGGUACGGGUUGUGAGAGCAAGAGCCCGGAGAUGGAUUCUGAGACACGAAUCCAGGCCCUACGGGGUGCAGCAGGCGCGAAAACUUUACAAUGCUGGCAACAGCGAUAAGGGAACCUCGAGUGCCAGGUUACAAAUCUGGCUGUCGAGAUGCCUAAAAAGCAUUUCAUAGCAAGGGCCGGGCAAGACCGGUGCCAGCCGCCGCGGUAACACCGGCGGCUCGAGUGGUAACCGUUAUUAUUGGGUCUAAAGGGUCUGUAGCCGGCCGGAUAAGUCUCUUGAGAAAUCUGGCAGCUUAACUGUCAGGCUUUCAGGAGAUACUGUCUGGCUCGAGGCCGGGAGAGGUGAGAGGUACUUCAGGGGUAGGGGUGAAAUCUUGUAAUCCUUGAAGGACCACCAGUGGCGAAGGCGUCUCACCAGAACGGACCUGACGGCAAGGGACGAAAGCUAGGGGCACGAACCGGAUUAGAUACCCGGGUAGUCCUAGCCGUAAACGAUACUCGCUAGGUGUCGGCCACGGUGCGACCGUUGUCGGUGCCGUAGGGAAGCCGUGAAGCGAGCCACCUGGGAAGUACGGCCGCAAGGCUGAAACUUAAAGGAAUUGGCGGGGGGGCACCACAACGGGUGGAGCCUGCGGUUUAAUCGGACUCAACGCCGGAAAUCUCACCGG